This 255-nucleotide ribosomal RNA is filed under the name uncultured bacterium. RNAcentral's name for it is "partial 16S ribosomal RNA". It matches the Rfam family "Bacterial small subunit ribosomal RNA", at positions 524 to 776 of the family's 1533-position model. The record is from RNAcentral.
UACGAGAGGUGCAGGUGUUGUUCCUAAUGACUGGGCGUUAAGGGUAUGUAGAUUGUAAUUUAAGUUAGAAUAAUAUGUAUUUUUAUUAUUUUUUUUUUAAUACUAUUUUUACUAGAAUAAUAUUUUAAAAAUACUAGAACUGUUUAGUUAAAGGUUUUAAAAUCUGUCUAGAUAAGCAGGAAUGUCAAAAGGCAAAGGCAUGUAUUUUAUUUUAUUAUUGACAUUAAAGGUACUAAAGCAUGGGGAUCAAACGGG